UAAUAUAAGAACUGCGAAAGUUCUGAAUAGUUUCAUGGAAACUAUUUCUGGGACAUGGCAGCUGGCGUUGCCGUUUCCUUUCAAAUCAAGGGAGGCGGUGGGAAUGAGGAGCGAGCCGCAAGAAAAAUCUCAUGCUGUCAACUGUCGCUUCAUUCACCGCCCUUCCCGUUUCCCUAAACGUGUCAAAAGGACACGCGCCGCCUCGGCUAAACUUUCAAAGCAAAUUGGGCACCGAAACUUUACUAUAGCAACUUUAUUAG
This 260-nucleotide long non-coding RNA is filed under the name Citrus maxima (pomelo). Its description in RNAcentral is "long non-coding RNA (CMAX_LNC001125)". The record is from RNAcentral. Lineage: Eukaryota; Viridiplantae; Streptophyta; Magnoliopsida; Sapindales; Rutaceae.